GGAGAUUUAGCUCAGUGGUAUAAGCACCUGCCUUGGAAGUAGGCGGUCAUGAGUUCGAUCCCCACUACCA
Molecule: non-coding RNA, 70 nt
Organism: Cavia porcellus (domestic guinea pig)
Lineage: Eukaryota; Metazoa; Chordata; Mammalia; Rodentia; Caviidae
Source: Rfam